RNAcentral lists this ribosomal RNA (464 nucleotides) under Acanthamoeba sp. RNAcentral describes it as "SSU rRNA". It matches the Rfam family "Eukaryotic small subunit ribosomal RNA", at positions 740 to 1095 of the family's 1831-position model. Lineage: Eukaryota; Discosea; Longamoebia; Acanthamoebidae. The record is from RNAcentral.
GGCCCAGAUCGUUUACCGUGAAAAAAUUAGAGUGUUCAAAGCAGGCAGAUCCAAUUUUCUGCCACCGAAUACAUUAGCAUGGGAUAAUGGAAUAGGACCCUGUCCUCCUAUUUUCAGUUGGUUUUGGCAGCGCGAGGACUAGGGUAAUGAUUAAUAGGGAUAGUUGGGGGCAUUAAUAUUUAAUUGUCAGAGGUGAAAUUCUUGGAUUUAUGAAAGAUUAACUUCUGCGAAAGCAUCUGCCAAGGAUGUUUUCAUUAAUCAAGAACGAAAGUUAGGGGAUCGAAGACGAUCAGAUACCGUCGUAGUCUUAACCAUAAACGAUGCCGACCAGCGAUUAGGAGACGUUGAAUACAAAACACCACCAUCGGUUGCGCGGUCAUCCUUGGCGUCUCGGUUUCGGCCGGGGCGCGGGGAUGGCUUAGCCCGGUGGCACCGGUGAAUGACUCCCCUAGCAGCUUGUGAGA